This 1370-nucleotide ribosomal RNA is filed under the name uncultured bacterium. RNAcentral describes it as "bacterial SSU rRNA". It matches the Rfam family "Bacterial small subunit ribosomal RNA". The record is from RNAcentral.
AGAGUUUGAUCCUGGCUCAGGACGAACGCUGGCGGCGCGCCUAACACAUGCAAGUCGAACGAGCGAGAGAGAGCUUGCUUUCUUGAGCGAGUGGCGAACGGGUGAGUAACGCGUGAGGAACCUGCCUCAAAGAGGGGGACAACAGUUGGAAACGACUGCUAAUACCGCAUAAGCCCACGGCUCGGCAUCGAGCAGAGGGAAAAGGAGCAAUCCGCUUUGAGAUGGCCUCGCGUCCGAUUAGCUAGUUGGUGAGGUAACGGCCCACCAAGGCGACGAUCGGUAGCCGGACUGAGAGGUUGAACGGCCACAUUGGGACUGAGACACGGCCCAGACUCCUACGGGAGGCAGCAGUGGGGAAUAUUGCACAAUGGGGGAAACCCUGAUGCAGCGACGCCGCGUGGAGGAAGAAGGUCUUCGGAUUGUAAACUCCUGUUGUUGAGGAAGAUAAUGACGGUACUCAACAAGGAAGUGACGGCUAACUACGUGCCAGCAGCCGCGGUAAAACGUAGGUCACAAGCGUUGUCCGGAAUUACUGGGUGUAAAGGGAGCGCAGGCGGGAAGACAAGUUGGAAGUGAAAUCCAUGGGCUCAACCCAUGAACUGCUUUCAAAACUGUUUUUCUUGAGUAGUGCAGAGGUAGGCGGAAUUCCCGGUGUAGCGGUGGAAUGCGUAGAUAUCGGGAGGAACACCAGUGGCGAAGGCGGCCUACUGGGCACCAACUGACGCUGAGGCUCGAAAGUGUGGGUAGCAAACAGGAUUAGAUACCCUGGUAGUCCACACUGUAAACGAUGAUUACUAGGUGUUGGAGGAUUGACCCCUUCAGUGCCGCAGUUAACACAAUAAGUAAUCCACCUGGGGAGUACGACCGCAAGGUUGAAACUCAAAGGAAUUGACGGGGGCCCGCACAAGCAGUGGAGUAUGUGGUUUAAUUCGACGCAACGCGAAGAACCUUACCAAGUCUUGACAUCCCUUGACGAUGCUGGAAACAGUAUUUCUCUUCGGAGCAAGGAGACAGGUGGUGCAUGGUUGUCGUCAGCUCGUGUCGUGAGAUGUUGGGUUAAGUCCCGCAACGAGCGCAACCCUUAUGGUCAGUUACUACGCAAGAGGACUCUGGCCAGACUGCCGUUGACAAAACGGAGGAAGGUGGGGAUGACGUCAAAUCAUCAUGCCCUUUAUGACUUGGGCUACACACGUACUACAAUGGCGUUAAACAAAGAGAAGCAAGACCGCGAGGUGGAGCAAAACUCAGAAACAACGUCCCAGUUCGGACUGCAGGCUGCAACUCGCCUGCACGAAGUCGGAAUUGCUAGUAAUCGUGGAUCAGCAUGCCACGGUGAAUACGUUCCCGGGCCUUGCACACACCGCCCGUCA